CCUACGGGAGGCUGCAGUGGGGAAUAUUGGACAAUGGGGGAAACCCUGAUCCAGCAAUGCCGCGUGUGUGAAGAAGGCCUUCGGGUUGUAAAGCACUUUCGGUUGGGAAGAAAAGUUUGGCGCCAAUACCGCCGAACCUUGACGUUACUGACAGAAGAAGCACCGGCUCACUCUGUGCCAGCAGCCGCGGUAAUACAGAGGGUGCAAGCGUUAAUCGGGCUUGCGGGGCGUAACAUGCGCGUCGGUGGUCAAAUCCCCGGGCUUAACCUGGGAACUGCAUUCGAUACUACAUGGCUAGAGUAUGGUAGAGGGAAGUGGAAUUUCCGGUGUAGCGGUGAAAUGCGUAGAUAUCGGAAGGAACACCAAUGGCGAAGGCAGCUUCCUGGACUAAUACUGACACUGAGGCACGAAAGCGUGGGUAGCAAACAGGAUUAGAUACCCUGGUAGUC
RNAcentral lists this ribosomal RNA (449 nucleotides) under uncultured bacterium. RNAcentral describes it as "partial 16S ribosomal RNA". It matches the Rfam family "Bacterial small subunit ribosomal RNA", at positions 338 to 795 of the family's 1533-position model. The record is from RNAcentral.